ACUCCUCCGGGAGGCAGCAGUGGGGAAUAUUGCACAAUGGGCGCAAGCCUGAUGCAGCCAUGCCGCGUGUAUGAAGAAGGCCUUCGGGUUGUAAAGUACUUUCAGCAGUGAGGAAGGUGGAUAUGUUAAUAGCAUACUCAUUUGACGUUAGCUGCAGAAGAAGCACCGGCUAACUCCGUGCCAGCAGCCGCGGUAAUACGGAGGGUGCGAGCGUUAAUCGGAAUUACUGGGCGUAAAGCGCAUGCAGGUGGUUUGUUAAGUCAGAUGUGAAAGCCCGGGGCUCAACCUCGGAAUUGCAUUUGAAACUGGCAAACUAGAGUACUGUAGAGGGGGGUAGAAUUUCAGGUGUAGCGGUGAAAUGCGUAGAGAUCUGAAGGAUACCGGUGGCGAAGGCGGCCCCCUGGACAGAUACUGACACUCAGAUGCGAAAGCGUGGGGAGCAAACAGGAUUAGAUAACCUGGUAGGCUCUGC
RNAcentral lists this ribosomal RNA (472 nucleotides) under uncultured bacterium. RNAcentral's name for it is "bacterial SSU rRNA". It matches the Rfam family "Bacterial small subunit ribosomal RNA", at positions 335 to 800 of the family's 1533-position model. The record is from RNAcentral.